UAAACUAUAGUUUAUAAAAACAGGUGAUUURCAUUCAGAAGAAGAGAUAGGGUUAG
Molecule: transfer RNA, 56 nt
Filed under: Trachelipus rathkii
Lineage: Eukaryota; Metazoa; Arthropoda; Malacostraca; Isopoda; Trachelipodidae
Description: tRNA-Val
Source: RNAcentral